CGGCACGGGUGAGUAAUACAUCGGAACGUGUCUUCUAGUGGGGGAUAACUGCCCGAAAGGGCAGCUAAUACCGCAUGAGACCCGAGGGUGAAAGCGGGGGAUCGUAAGACCUCGCGCUGGAAGAGCGGCCGAUGUCCGAUUAGCUAGUUGGUGAGGUAAAGGCUCACCAAGGCGACGAUCGGUAGCUGGUCUGAGAGGACGACCAGCCACACUGGGACUGAGACACGGCCCAG
RNAcentral lists this ribosomal RNA (233 nucleotides) under uncultured bacterium. RNAcentral describes it as "partial 16S ribosomal RNA". It matches the Rfam family "Bacterial small subunit ribosomal RNA", at positions 100 to 334 of the family's 1533-position model. The record is from RNAcentral.